RNAcentral lists this ribosomal RNA (504 nucleotides) under uncultured bacterium. RNAcentral describes it as "partial 16S ribosomal RNA". It matches the Rfam family "Bacterial small subunit ribosomal RNA", at positions 30 to 523 of the family's 1533-position model. The record is from RNAcentral.
AUUGAACGCUGGCGGCAUGCUUUACACAUGCAAGUCGAACGGCAGCAUGGGUGCUUGCACCUGAUGGCGAGUGGCGAACGGGUGAGUAAUGUAUCGGAACAUAUCCGCAAGUGGGGGAUAACGUAGCGAAAGUUACGCUAAUACCGCAUAUUCCCUGAGGGGGAAAGGAGGGGAUCCGCAAGGACCUUUCGCUUACGGCGUGGACGAUAUCAGAUUAGCUAGUUGGUGAGGUAAAGGCUCACCAAGGGUUCGAUCUGUAGCGGGUCUGAGAGGAUGAUCCGCCACACUGGGACUGAGACACGGCCCAGACUCCUACGGGAGGCAGCAGUGGGGAAUUUUGGACAAUGGGGGCAACCCUGAUCCAGCCAUGCCGCGUGAGUGAAGAAGGCCUUCGGGUUGUAAAGCUCUUUCGGCUGGAAAAAAAUCGCUUCACCUAAUACGUGGAGUGGAUGAUGGUACCAGCAGAAGAAGCACAGGCUAACUACGUGCCAGCAGCCGCCGUAA